GGGUUUCCCCUUCCCCCGCCGCCGCUUGGUGAGAGGGAAGAAGGAGAGAUGAUGAGCAAAGGGCCUGGUGGAUAUCGGGGAGGAGGAAGAUUAAUGGAGGGGGAAGAGAUAUUUUCCAGUAUAGAAGGAAGGAAGAGGACCUAGAUAGAAUCAGAGAGAACUACCACAACAAUGAGAGAGGCGGGGGAGAUUCGGAUACAGAGAUGGAUCGAGGAAAUCUGUUCAGUAGGGGGAGGAAGAGAAGAAUGAGAUGGCAGAUCUGAUGAUGCCUGGGAGCUCCAAGGAAGAAACUGUGAAGAGAUCAGAUGAGGAACAUAUGAAAAAGGAGCUUAAAGGCAAAGAUGAUAUUACGGCGCUGGUUUCUUCUUUCGAUCUGAUCCAACAGAAUCGCUGCCCUCCCUAGAAGCAGCCAAGGCAAUUUACCUGAUGAGACCAAGAGAGUGCUUGCUGGAGGAAAAGAACACAUAGAAAAAAGUGAAGCUGCUACGGAUAGGGGAAAUAACCAAGGGCGGAAAGGGUGGAAUCAGAACAACAGAUUUGGGCAAAAAGAGAAUAUGGAGCAAAACAAAGCUGGGGGGAACUAAAGAAUGAUUUGCAAUAAGUGUAAAGACACCAGACAUCUGACUAGGGACUAUAAGUUACCUAAUUGCAUCAUUUGUGGCAAGAACUCCCAUGUUACUGAGGAAUGUGCAUGGCUGAAGCAAAUCAAACCUACCCCAAAGUUUCUUGGAUAUGCUGCCAGAGGUCUUGGUGUGCUGCUGGUACAGAAUUCUAAAGAGGUGGUCAGUAGUGAACAGACUAAUCCUAUGGCCAUUGUGAAUAUUUUUUCAGGGGAGAUCAAUGAAACACAGUUUUUGGAGGGUUUCAAUUAUAUUUUCAGUUGGAACUGGCAAUGGAGAUGCAAAAAACAUGGAGACAGAGCCUAUUUGAUGAGAUUCCCUAACAAGAGCAGACUGACAGAGCUCCACAAAUUUGGAAACUUUAACUUGCUGGGAACCAAUGUUGUGAUCAAUGUUGAUAGUUGGACCUAUGACACUCAGGCUAUUGGCAAGUUACAUACAGUGUGGGUGCAGUUUGGAAAAAUCCCAGAGUGCUUUAGGCACUUUUUUGGAAUGUGUGAGGUGGCUGCUUCUAUUGGUCCUGUCUUAGCAAUUUAUAUGACUACUAUCAUGAAAGAAAAAAUCAGGGCUAAAGUGGGAGUCAGAGAUUAUGAAAAAAUACCCCACCAUACUGAGAUAACUGACAAGGACUUGAUGAUAUACAAAAUCAAUAUGGAAUUAGAAGAGGUGGUUGGACAGGGGUGGUAUGAAGAAAAAAAGAAGUUUGAGAACAUGGAGACUGAAUCAGAUAAAAAUAACUAUGGGAGGACAGAAAAAGAUCAAGAUUGGAGAAAUGGGAUCAGAAGGGUUUAAGGAAAAUAUCUCUCUGGGGAGUGUGGGGCUCAAACAAUUUGAAGAAAUGCAGCAGCAAAAUGAGGAAAUAUUGAAGAUACAGAAAGAUUAUCUGUUGGAAGUGGAUUUGAGGAAGAAAGUUGAGGCUGAGCUAGAUAAAGUUUUAAAAACAUUCCAAGAAGUAGAAGAAAUCAGAUGCAGAAAUGAUGCCUGGAGAGCUGUGGAGGAAAAGAAGAGCACUAAUUGGGAAAAAGAGAAAAAGGAUUUGCUAGAAAUGAUUCAAGGCCAACAGGAGCUUAUUAACAAGUGCAUGUAAAAUAUUGAUGCUUGGGAAGAUGAAGAUAUCUAUGAAGAAGACUUAGGUGAGAAAAAUGGACUCGAGUAUGAAACUCCACAGGAACCCACUGCUGAUGCAUACACAGAACCAGUGGAUUAUUCAGCAAGCCAAGACUCGGUGGAAUCCUUAGGCUCGAAGUUAGGUAUUCACAAAAGGGAGGAAAAUGACAAGGACAAAGAUAAGGAUGGACCUACUAGAAGAAGUGAUAGAAACCUAUACAAGAAGGACUCUAAAAUAGAAGAUCUGGCCAAGGAAAGGGCUGCUGAAAAAGACAAUUAUGAAAAGGGACCCAGAGGUAAAAAUGUUGAUGCUGGGGGCAAAACUCAUCGUGCAAGUAGCAAGUGAUGUCUACAAGGCUGCGCAAGGUUGGCGUUUUGGAGUUCUUCGAAUUUAACAGUGACAAGAAUGAAGACUACUUCUUCUUUUGGUGCUCUGACGAAGUGAAGCGGGGAGACAGUGCAUUCCUCUGGCCCUGGAUUCCGGCUUCUUUUCUUUCUGUAGCUCCGGCUUCGCUCUGUUUUACUUUGAAACUCUCUAUGGCUUGUGAUAUGACUAGCUUAAGUGUGCGGGUUUAAAAACAUAUUGGAUGC
This is a long non-coding RNA of Aegilops tauschii subsp. strangulata, 2318 nucleotides long. RefSeq lists it as uncharacterized. Lineage: Eukaryota; Viridiplantae; Streptophyta; Magnoliopsida; Poales; Poaceae. The record is from RefSeq and is a predicted model, not a curated record.